AAAAGAAAAUAAUCUAAAAUCACAUCAAUUAAACCGAAAUUUCAGAUCCUAAAUCACAAUUUGCUCUCACUUAUCCAAAACAUCGUCCAAAAUCGAGCCUACUCUGUUGGAGCGUUUAGAUUCUCACACCUUUCGCCUAAUCGAGAACCACAAAAAUGCUAAUUACAAAAACAAAAAAGAAAAUAUACCAACACAAACCCAACUUAUUCAAGAAACUAACUAAAACUAAAAUAAUAAUAGAAAGACAGCAAAAGUAACCAAAUGAAACUUACACUGCGAACGGAAUACAAUCCAAGAGUCAAAACGCUCAAAAAUCGAUAGUAUUUAAGAAUGAUCAAAGC
RNAcentral lists this long non-coding RNA (341 nucleotides) under Gossypium raimondii (Peruvian cotton). Its description in RNAcentral is "long non-coding RNA (GRAI_LNC001073)". Lineage: Eukaryota; Viridiplantae; Streptophyta; Magnoliopsida; Malvales; Malvaceae. The record is from RNAcentral.